GUGAGGAAUAUUGGUCAAUGGGCGAGAGCCUGAACCAGCCAAGUCGCGUGAAGGAUGAAGGUUUUAUGAAUUGUAAACUUCUUUUGCAGGGGAAUAAAGUACGGUACGUGUACCGUUUUGUAUGUACUCUGCGAAUAAGGAUCGGCUAACUCCGUGCCAGCAGCCGCGGUAAUACGGAGGAUCCAAGCGUUAUCCGGAUUUAUUGGGUUUAAAGGGUGCGCAGGCGGGUUGAUAAGUCAGCGGUGAAAGUUUGCAGCUUAACUGUAAAAUUGCCGUUGAAACUGUCGAUCUUGAGUGCAAAUGAGGUAAGCGGAAUGUGUUGUGUAGCGGUGAAAUGCUUAGAUAUAACACAGAACACCGAUUGCGAAGGCAGCUUACUGGGAUGCAACUGACGCUCAUGCACGAAAGCGUGGGGAUCAAACAGGAUUAGAUACCCUAGUAGUCC
This 445-nucleotide ribosomal RNA is filed under the name uncultured bacterium. RNAcentral's name for it is "partial 16S ribosomal RNA". It matches the Rfam family "Bacterial small subunit ribosomal RNA", at positions 354 to 796 of the family's 1533-position model. The record is from RNAcentral.